CGGAAGGUCCUACUGCUGGAGAUGAAGAAGAAUCUGAGAAGUCAGUAUCUGAGGUGAAUGAUGAGGAUGAUGAUGAGGAGGGCAGUGGCGAGGUUUCUUUUUAUUCUUUUUUGCGUCAUUGCCUUGUGGUUUGUGGUAAUUAUUUGCAUGAUAUUUACUUGGUAUUGUUUAUUUCAUGCAGGAGGAGGAUGAUGAUUAGAGAGUGGACUGAUAACAAUUUAUGUAGGUUUUGAUGAUUUGGAUCAUCUUUUGUAGGUGGUCUGGUCAUUUCCUGAUGAUAAACAAACAUGUUUCUUUCUUCCAGAAAAAUAUUUCUCUGCUCCCUCCGUAAAAUUGUUUUGU
RNAcentral lists this long non-coding RNA (342 nucleotides) under Phaseolus vulgaris (common bean). Its description in RNAcentral is "long non-coding RNA (PVUL_LNC000982)". Lineage: Eukaryota; Viridiplantae; Streptophyta; Magnoliopsida; Fabales; Fabaceae. The record is from RNAcentral.